Molecule: ribosomal RNA, 253 nt
Filed under: uncultured bacterium
Lineage: Bacteria
Description: partial 16S ribosomal RNA
Rfam family: Bacterial small subunit ribosomal RNA
Source: RNAcentral
UACGUAGGGGGCUAGCGUUGUCCGGAAUCAUUGGGCGUAAAGAGCGUGUAGGCGGUCCGGUAAGUCCGCUGUGAAAGUCGGGGGCUCAACCCUCGAAUGCCGGUGGAUACUGUCGGGCUAGAGUGCGGAAGAGGCGAGUGGAAUUCCUGGUGUAGCGGUGAAAUGCGCAGAUAUCAGGAGGAACACGUAUUGCGAAGGCCGCUCGCUGGGACGUAACUGACGCUGAGACGCGAAAGCGUGGGGAGCAAACAGG